Molecule: ribosomal RNA, 491 nt
Filed under: uncultured bacterium
Lineage: Bacteria
Description: partial 16S ribosomal RNA
Rfam family: Bacterial small subunit ribosomal RNA
Source: RNAcentral
UGGGGAAUCUUCCGCAAUGGACGAAAGUCUGACGGAGCAACGCCGCGUGAGUGAAGAAGGUUUUCGGAUCGUAAAACUCUGUCUUUUGGGGCGAACGUGAGUAUGGUGAACAAUCAUAGUCAGUGACGGUACCAAAGGAGGAAGCCACGGCUAACUACGUGCCAGCAGCCGCGGUAAUACGUAGGUGGCAAGCGUUGUCCGGAAUUAUUGGGCGUAAAGAGCGCGUAGGCGGGAUAGUCAGUCUGUUGUAAAAGUGCGGGGCUCAACCCCGUGAUCGCAAUGGAAACAGCUAUUCUUGAGUGCAGGAGAGGAAAGUGGAAUUCCCAGUGUAGCGGUGAAAUGCGUAGAUAUUGGGAGGAACACCAGUGGCGAAGGCGACUUUCUGGACUGUGUCUGACGCUGAGGCGCGAAAGCCAGGGGAGCGAACGGGAUUAGAUACCCCGGUAGUCCUGGCCUAAGCNAACGGAUGGACUAGGUGUGGGAGGUAUCGA